CAAUAGCGUAUAUUAAAGUUGUUGCAGUUAAAAAGCUCGUAGUUGAACUUCAGACCUGGCUGGGCGGUCCGCCUAACGGUGUGUACUGUCUGGCUGGGUCUUACCUCUUGGUGAGCCGGCAUGCCCUUCACUGGGUGUGUCGGGGAACCAGGACUUUUACCUUGAGAAAAUUAGAGUGUUCAAAGCAGGCCUGCGCCUGAAUACAUUAGCAUGGAAUAAUAAAAUAGGACGUGCGGUUCUAUUUUGUUGGUUUCUAGAGUCGCCGUAAUGAUUAAUAGGGAUAGUUGGGGGCAUUAGUAUUCCGUUGCUAGAGGUGAAAUUCUUGGAUUUACGGAAGACUAACUACUGCGAANGNAUUUGCNAAGGAUGUUUNCAUUA
This 378-nucleotide ribosomal RNA is filed under the name uncultured eukaryote. Its description in RNAcentral is "partial 18S ribosomal RNA". It matches the Rfam family "Eukaryotic small subunit ribosomal RNA", at positions 592 to 975 of the family's 1831-position model. The record is from RNAcentral.